GAAUCCCGUCUUUGACAUGGACUGCCAGAGCUCAACAGGUGCGCUCUCGAAGAGUCGAGUUGUUUGGGAAUGCAGCUCAAAAUGGGUGGUAAAUGCCAUCUAAAGCUAAAUAUUGGCGAGAGACCGAUAGCGAACAAGUACCGUGAGGGAAAGAUGAAAAGAACUUUGGAAAGAGAGUUAAACAGUACGUGAAAUUGCUGAAAGGGAAACGCUUGAAGUCAGUCACAUCGUCUGGAAAUCAACCUCGCUCUUGCUGGGUGUACUUUCCGUCCGAUGGGUCAGCAUCAGUUUCGGCUGCUGGACAAGGUCUUUGGGAACGUGGCAUCUCAGGAUGUGUUAUAGCCCUUGGGCAGAUGCAGUGGCCGGGACUGAGGAACUCGGCGUGCCGCGAGGCUGGGACGCUUGUCGUCCACACCAACGCGCCUAGGAUGCUGGCAUAAUGGCUUUAAUCGACCCGUCUUGAAACACGGACCAAGGAGUCUAACAUGCCUGCGAGUGUUUGGGUGGAAAACCCAUGCGCGCAAUGAAAGUGAAGGUUGAGAUCCCUGUCGUGGGGAGCAUCGACGCCCAGACCAGACCUUCUGUGACGGCUCUGCGGUAGAGCAUGCAUGUUGGGACCCGAAAGAUGGUGAACUAUGCCUGAAUAGGGUGAAGCCAGAGGAAACUCUGGUGGAGGCUCGUAGCGAUUCUGACGUGCAAAUCGAUCGUCAAAUUUGGGUAUAGGGGCGAAAGACUAAUCGAACCAUCUAGUAGCUGGUUCCUGCC
This 765-nucleotide ribosomal RNA is filed under the name uncultured Inocybe. RNAcentral's name for it is "partial 28S ribosomal RNA". It matches the Rfam family "Eukaryotic large subunit ribosomal RNA", at positions 216 to 962 of the family's 3401-position model. The record is from RNAcentral. Lineage: Eukaryota; Fungi; Basidiomycota; Agaricomycetes; Agaricales; Cortinariaceae.